Molecule: ribosomal RNA, 468 nt
Filed under: uncultured bacterium
Lineage: Bacteria
Description: partial 16S ribosomal RNA
Rfam family: Bacterial small subunit ribosomal RNA
Source: RNAcentral
GACGAACGCUGGCGGCGUGCUUAACACAUGCAAGUCGAACGGAAAGGCCCUGCUUUUGUGGGGUGCUCGAGUGGCGAACGGGUGAGUAACACGUGAGUAACCUGCCCUUGACUUUGGGAUAACUUCAGGAAACUGGGGCUAAUACCGGAUAGGAGCUCCUGCUGCAUGGUGGGGGUUGGAAAGUUUCGGCGGUUGGGGAUGGACUCGCGGCUUAUCAGCUUGUUGGUGGGGUAGUGGCUUACCAAGGCUUUGACGGGUAGCCGGCCUGAGAGGGUGACCGGCCACAUUGGGACUGAGAUACGGCCCAGACUCCUACGGGAGGCAGCAGUGGGGAAUAUUGCACAAUGGGCGGAAGCCUGAUGCAGCAACGCCGCGUGCGGGAUGAAGGCCUUCGGGUUGUAAACCGCUUUCGCCUGUGACGAAGCGUGUGUGACGGUAAUGGGUAAAGAAGCACCGGCUAACUACGUG